GGUGAUGUAGCUCAGUGGUAGAGCUCUUACCUGGCACGUGAGGGCCUUGGAUUUGAUCCUCAAUACCA
Molecule: transfer RNA, 68 nt
Filed under: Fukomys damarensis (Damara mole-rat)
Lineage: Eukaryota; Metazoa; Chordata; Mammalia; Rodentia; Bathyergidae
Rfam family: tRNA
About the family: Transfer RNA (tRNA) molecules are approximately 80 nucleotides in length. Their secondary structure includes four short double-helical elements and three loops (D, anti-codon, and T loops).
Source: Rfam by way of RNAcentral